Long non-coding RNA from Humulus lupulus (European hop), 311 nucleotides. RefSeq lists it as uncharacterized. The record is from RefSeq and is a predicted model, not a curated record. The transcript is spliced from 3 exons. NCBI's taxonomy places the organism in Eukaryota, Viridiplantae, Streptophyta, Magnoliopsida, Rosales, Cannabaceae.
CUUUCAGAUUUUUGGUCUCGGUGGCUUGGUGACUUUGUGAUUUUUAAGAUUGGUGGGCUGGUGGCUUUGAGGUUUUAUCAAUGCGAUGUGUUGCACUAUCCUGAGCAUUAUGGUAUAAAUUCCUAUGCUGAGCCCGUUGCACUAUCCCGAGCGCUAUGGCUAAAACUGUACUUGGAUAUUUAAGAGAACCAAGACAAUUAUAUAAGAGAACCAAGGCAACAAUAAAUUCUUCUUCAAGUUGUUGGGUACUAUUUUCUUUCUUGUUUGUCAUAAUUAUGUACAGUGAGGAUUUGAUGUAUAAUUUACAUUGA